UACAGAGGUCCCAAGCGUUGUUCGGAUUCAUUGGGCGUAAAGGGUGCGUAGGCGGCGUGGUAAGUCGGGUGUGAAAUCUCGGAGCUUAACUCCGAAACUGCAUUCGAUACUGCCGUGCUUGAGGACUGGAGAGGAGACUGGAAUUUACGGUGUAGCGGUGAAAUGCGUAGAUAUCGUAAGGAAGACCAGUGGCGAAGGCGGGUCUCUGGACAGUUCCUGACGCUGAGGCACGAAGGUCAGGGGAGCAAACGGG
RNAcentral lists this ribosomal RNA (253 nucleotides) under uncultured bacterium. RNAcentral describes it as "partial 16S ribosomal RNA". It matches the Rfam family "Bacterial small subunit ribosomal RNA", at positions 524 to 776 of the family's 1533-position model. The record is from RNAcentral.